RNAcentral lists this ribosomal RNA (966 nucleotides) under uncultured organism. Its description in RNAcentral is "bacterial SSU rRNA". It matches the Rfam family "Bacterial small subunit ribosomal RNA", at positions 518 to 1495 of the family's 1533-position model. The record is from RNAcentral.
CGGUAAAACGUAGGGGGCGAGCGUUAUCCGGAUUUAUUGGGCGUAAAGCGCAAGUAGGCAGCGUUGUAAGUUGGACGUGAAAGCUCCCGGCUCAACUGGGAGAGGUCGUUCAAAACUACAGUGCUCGAGGUUGGAAGAGGAGAGUAGAAUUCCCGGUGUAGUGGUGGAAUGCGUAGAUAUCGGGAGGAAUACCAGUGGCGAAAGCGACUCUCUGGUCCACACCUGACGCUGAGGUGCGAAAGCGUGGGUAGCGAACGGGAUUAGAUACCCCGGUAGUCCACGCCGUAAACGAUGGAUACUAGGUGUAGGGGGUCACUGAAUCCCUCUGUGCCGUAGCAAACGCGUUAAGUAUCCCGCCUGGGGACUACGGCCGCAAGGUUAAAACUCAAAGGAAUUGUCGGGGGCCCGCACAAGCAGCGGAGCGUGUGGUUUAAUUCGAUGAUACGCGAAGAACCUUACCUGGGCUGAACUACGUGGUAGUAGAGAAGCGAAAGCGGAUCGACCCUUCGGGGAGCCUCGAUAGGUGCUGCAUGGCUGUCGUCAGCUCGUGUCGUGAGAUGUUGGGUUAAGUCCCGCAACGAGCGCAACCCUUGUCGUUAGUUAUACGUGUCUAGCGAGACUGCCGGUAUCAAACCGGAGGAAGGUGGGGAUGACGUCAAGUCAGCAUGGUCUUUAUGUCCAGGGCUACACACACGCUACAAUGGCCGGUACAACAGGUUGCUAUACCGCGAGGUGGAGCUAAUCCCUAAAGCCGGUCUCAGUUCGGAUUGCAGUCUGCAACUCGACUGCAUGAAGGUGGAGUUGCUAGUAACCGCGCGUCAGCAAUAGUGCGGUGAAUGCGUUCCCGGGCCUUGUACACACCGCCCGUCACAUCAUGGAAGUCGGUAACACCUGAAGUCGGUGACCUAACCGCAAGGAAGGAGCUGCCUAAGGUGGGACCGGUAACUGGGAUGAAGUCGUAANCAG